Molecule: ribosomal RNA, 168 nt
Filed under: Neocentropogon trimaculatus (threespotted waspfish)
Lineage: Eukaryota; Metazoa; Chordata; Actinopteri; Perciformes; Scorpaenidae
Description: partial 12S rRNA
Source: RNAcentral
CACCGCGGUUAAACGAGAGGCCCAAGUUGAUAAAUGCCGGCGUAAAGCGUGGUUAAAAAUAUAAAAUACUAAGGCCGAAUACUUUUAGGACUGUUAUACGUAUUCAAAAGUUAGAAGCCCAACUACGAAGGUGGCCUUAAUAAAGUUGAACCCACGAAAGUUAAGACA